Molecule: long non-coding RNA, 470 nt
Organism: Nicotiana attenuata
Lineage: Eukaryota; Viridiplantae; Streptophyta; Magnoliopsida; Solanales; Solanaceae
Exons: 2
Source: RefSeq, a predicted model, not a curated record
AUACACUUGGGGAAUAGUACUUCUGCAGAGCCUCUCUGGGAGGGAAGUUAUCAAUAUGAACAUGGAGCAACCAACAACAUUGGACAAAAUUGCGAAAUCGCUGAUGAGGGAAAGACGGGCAAUGGUAUUUGUUGAUCCAAAACUUCAUGGAGAUUACUCAACAGAGGCUUUCCAGCACAUUGGAGUUGGCUAUUUCAUGCAUUGAACCAAAGCAAAAUAGACCCUCCAUUGAGAAAGUUGUUGACAAGCUGGAAGAUGCACUAGCUAUAACAGCAAGCAAACAUGUUGGACGGUUAGGAAAAUAUGAAAAUUCAUGAGUCGCACAAAGGCAAACGAUCUCACAGAAAACAAGACUGUUUCACAUCUUAUCUACGAAAGUAUAAAAAAGAUCUCAUGAAAACAGGAUUGCAUGUUGUAUUAGGUCAGCCAAAGUAUACAAAAGAAAAUACAAAAACAAAGAUUGCAUGUUG